UAGUGAGAUGCGAUGUGAGGUCGGUCCAAAACAGCUAACAUUAAGAACACUAAACAAUAAAAUCAAUGGAGUUGGAUGUUACUUCUUUUACACGGAUAGCUUAGCUAAAACAUGUUUAUUUGGUAGCAAAAUAUAAAAGCUAUGGUUAUUGUUUACUAGAUAUUACUCCUCGUGUGUAAGCAAGAUAAAGUUUGUGUAAUAAUCUUGGAAGUGUAUCAAAACUUGAUAUUAUGACUCAUGACUUCUAUAUCUUAUUCGUUUUUUUGUUCGUUCGAAUGGUUGGUUAUCUACCAACUAUCAACUUGCAGUCCUAUACCAACUCAAAGAAUCUAUAACCUCUCCUCUAUUUAUGGAUAUAGAUGCGUCGACGUGAUUAUUUUUAUCUAACAAACAUGUGGAUGUUUUACAACCAUGAACCAUGAAACAACUUUUGAUAUUUAAUGUUCUGAUUUUUGAAAUGUUUAGGUUUUUAUUUUGCCUGUCUAAAUUAAACAUUAUAUGAAGAAAACAAAAUAUCAAAUGUUAUCUUUUAUUAGGUUAAGAACUCCGUCCAAGUUUCUAUUUUAAGACACGUAACGACGAUUUGUUUGGUGCCAUAUGCCUUUUAAGUUUCCAUUUUUACAUAAGUAGCUUGUAAAAAUGUUAUCGGUUCUGUUUGAUUCAGUUUAAACCAUGUAAUUUUUAACCAUUUCGGUUUGUAACCAGUUUGGAUCAAAUUAAUAUUGUGUAUUAUAAUUAUUAUUUUAAAAAGGAGAGAGUGAGAGAAAGAGUUGACAUUUGGAGCCAACAGGAGCUCAGAUGCACCGCGAUCACGAGAUUUUGAUUAAUUUAGGUGUAUUCUUUGUGUGAAUCAAGCAUGUUCGUUGUAGUGACAACGACGUUAACGUGCAUAUGAAAGCUAACCUCGAUAAUGUUGCUGGGUCACCAAUCGAGAUUGAACAACAUCAAGACCAAUCGAUAUUUAAUCAAGUUUAUAAAAUAAAAAGACUUAGAAUAUGUCCUACAUAUCUACCUAUUAGUAUAUUGUUUGCAUUAAUUAGUAAGUAUAUUCACGGUAAAUUUAACCAUGCUAUCUUUUUACGAGAGUCUACUUUUUUACUAUAUAAAGUUAGCAUGAUCUACAAGUUUAUUAAACGGAAGUGGUUAUGAAAUGACAUGAACAAGGAAAAGAAAAAGUAACUUAACAUCGAUGAUGAUGGUAUGAUGAUGGUACGGUAAUAGAACCCAUAAUGAACCAAGUCCAACCAAUAGGAGACUUUAAAUUGAGCUUACCAAAAAGAUAACCUUUUUCUUGAGAAAUUAAUGGAAUGGGUUGCAUGUAAAAUAAAUUGCGUGGGGUCUGUAUUGAUAAAGAGGACUUACAUGUAGUGAUGGCUCUUUCAAUUCAAUAGAUAUAAUACAUCUUUUACAAAAAAAAAAAAUAGUAUAAAAAACACACUAGGAAAUUUUGCAAUGGAAACUCUUGAUAUAUACAAAUUAUAAGUAAUUUUUUGGAAAAAAAUAAAUAAACAGUGUAUGUUUAAAAGAAAUUACUCCCCAUAAAAAUACAAUAACUUAAGUUUUUUUUUAACUAUAUAUACCUUGUUUUAACAAAUACUAGUAGAUAUUGUAAACUGAAACAAAAAAUGAUAGUGAAUAUUCAAAUUAUUAAAUUACUAUUUCUUCAUUGGUAACAAAAAAAUACAAAAAUAGAUAAAUGGAUACCCAAGAAAAAAUUAAAUGUUUAAAUCAUAUUUUUACAAUUUGUCUUAUUAAUUUCAAAAAUUUAAAUAUUCUAAUUCAUUUUAUUUUAUACGAAUAAUGAAUUAUUUAUUAUCAAAAUUAGGCAUUUUUUCUUCGGUAUAACAAAUAAACCCAUUUCCAUCUAAUCUGGUAUUUUUCUUCAUUUGGUCUUUUCAGAGAUAAAUAAAAAAGCAGCCAAACUUAAAUCAAUUCGAAACUGAUCAUUUAUCACCCCACUAAUAGAAAAGCAGCCUCCAUAAAUCCAAAUAAUAUUUUUAUUUUUUAAUAGAAGAGUAAUGUCUGAGAAAGCAUAAUAAGCGAUCAAACAUAUAAAAAAAUAAAACAAAUAACAAACAAACCAUCUCGCCGUGAUUCAUCAUCAUCUCCUCCGAUUCAACUCUCUCUCUCUCUCUUUGACUUCAGAUUCGAUCUCCGUCCCCAAAAUGGAGACUCCACCCGCGGAGGAGCUUCUCAAGAAGAUACGGGAGCUGGAGGAGAGCCAGGAGCAUCUCAAGCGCGAGAUGUCGAGGCUCAAGGUCUCGGCCGCCGAGGUUAAGCAGCAGCAGCAGCAGCGCUCGCAUUCAAUGUCUCCGCAACGGAGGAGAAACAGUGGCGGGGAAGGAGCAGGUGCCCCGAGGUGGAGGAAGAGCGGGACGGCGUCGUUUCGCCACGCUUCCCCGCUGCGCAAGGAGAGCCGUGGUGGUGGCGGCGAGGAGGAGGAGGGAAGAUCUGGUGGAGGAGGGAAGUUUACGGAGAAACAGUAUUUGAAUAUUUUGCAGUCUAUGGCGCAAGCUGUUCAUGUCUUUGAUCUUAACGGACAAAUCAUCUUUUGGAACGCAAUGGCGGAAAAGCUUUACGGCUUCUCAGCAGCAGAAGCACUUGGGAAGGACCCUAUCGAUAUUCUCGUAGAUAACCAAGACGCCGCGGUUGCACAGAACAUCACCCGCCGUUGCGGCUGCGGAGAGAGCUGGACCGGUGAGUUUCCCGUCAAGAACAAAGCAGGAGACAGGUUUUCGGUAGUGACUACAAUGUCUCCGUUCUACGAUGAUGAUGGCUCUCUUAUUGGGAUCAUAUGCAUCACAAACGACGCUGCUCUUUUUCAAGACCCGAGAGUCUCUCAAGCUAAGACAAGAGGGCAAGAAGGGGAAACGAGCUUUAGCCGGGUUGCAUCUAAGCUCGGUCUUGACUCCAAAGAGGCUGUUGUGUCGAAACUUGGGCUUGACUCUCAGCAGCCUAUACAAGUCGCUAUUAAAUCCAAAAUAUCAGAUUUGGCGUCCAAGGUGGGGAACAAGGUCAGGUCAAAGAUCCAAGCAGGUGAUAACAGCACUGCACACCUCGAAGGUGGAAGUGGGGACAGUCAUCAUUCAGAUCAAGGCUUCUUCGAAGCUGCUUUGUUUGAACGUAAGGAGGAUGCAGGCGCUAGCACUAGCACAGCGAGGGGAGAUUUUAUCCAAUCUCCUUUCGGUGUGUUCCUACGUAGCGAUGACAAGUCUUCUUCUUCAAAGCCCUUCAGAGAUUCAAGCGAUGAAAACGAGAUUCCUAAGACGCUUGCCUCGAAAGCUGAAGAGUGGAUGGCGAAGAAAGGGUUGUCAUGGCCAUGGAAAGGGAACGAGCAAGAGGGUUUGGAAGGGAGGCGGGGUCACCCCGUGUGGCCUUGGGUGCAGAAGGAACAAGGUCAUCAGAGUAAUAAGGCUGCUAGUAAUGAGGCUGCGGGCGGGUCUUGGUCUUCCCCUGUUAAUGUGAACAGCACGAGCAGUGCUAGCAGCUGUGGAAGUACUAGCAGCAGUGUUAUGAACAAGGUUGAUAUGGAUAGUGACUGCUUGGAUUAUGAAAUCUUAUGGGAGGAUUUGACAAUUGGAGAACAGAUUGGGCAAGGUUCAUGUGGAACUGUCUACCACGGUCUAUGGUUUGGAUCUGAUGUUGCUGUAAAGGUGUUCUCCAAACAAGAAUAUUCUGAAGAGAUCAUAACAUCUUUUAGACAAGAGGUAUCGUUGAUGAAAAGACUUAGACAUCCAAAUGUGCUACUGUUUAUGGGAGCUGUGACAUCUCCACAGCGUCUCUGUAUCGUGACAGAGUUCCUUCCACGUGGAAGUCUCUUCCGUUUGCUGCAGAGGAACACAUCAAAACUGGACUGGAGACGACGUAUCCAUAUGGCAUCUGACAUUGCUCGUGGCAUGAACUAUCUUCACCAUUGCAGUCCACCCAUCAUUCACCGUGACCUGAAGUCAUCAAAUCUACUGGUUGAUCGAAACUGGACAGUGAAGGUUGCUGACUUUGGUCUCUCGCGUAUUAAACAUGAGACAUACCUCACUACGAAGACAGGAAGAGGAACGGUAUUCAACAUAAGACUCUUACCAAAUUGUUUUCUCUUUUUCUUGGUCAAUUCUUCUCAUUAUGAAUUCAAUUGCUUCUUUUUUUACCUGUUUUGCAGCCUCAAUGGAUGGCACCGGAGGUUCUUCGAAAUGAAGCUGCUGAUGAAAAGUCUGACGUUUACAGCUUCGGAGUAGUACUAUGGGAGCUUGUGACUGAGAAGAUUCCGUGGGAAAAUCUAAAUGCUAUGCAGAAUACUUGCAGGUGAUUGGAGCUGUGGGGUUUAUGAACCAGAGACUCGAAGUCCCAAAGGAUGUUGAUCCUCAGUGGAUUUCUCUAAUGGAAAGCUGCUGGCAUAGUGAACCACAGUGCAGACCGACGUUCCAACAAGUUAUGGAGAAACUAAGAGAGCUUCAAAGGAAAUACACUAUGCAGUUUCAGGCAACCCGUGCUGCAUCGAUAGACAACUCUUCCCUCAAGGAAAAAUAAAA
Brassica rapa (field mustard) is the source of this 4523-nucleotide RNA transcript. It is a transcript of the gene named probable serine/threonine-protein kinase SIS8, with no coding region annotated. The record is from RefSeq and is a predicted model, not a curated record. Lineage: Eukaryota; Viridiplantae; Streptophyta; Magnoliopsida; Brassicales; Brassicaceae.